This 496-nucleotide ribosomal RNA is filed under the name uncultured bacterium. Its description in RNAcentral is "partial 16S ribosomal RNA". It matches the Rfam family "Bacterial small subunit ribosomal RNA", at positions 28 to 506 of the family's 1533-position model. The record is from RNAcentral.
GAUGAACGCUGGCGGCGUGCCUAAUACAUGCAAGUCGAGCGAACGGACGAGAAGCUUGCUUCUCUGAUGUUAGCGGCGGACGGAUGAGUAACACGUGGAUAACCUACCUAUAAGACUGGGAUAACUUCGGGAAACCGGAGCUAAUACCGGAUAAUAUUUUGAACCGCAUGGUUCAAAAGUGAAAGACGGUCUUGCUGUCACUUAUAGAUGGAUCCGCGCUGCAUUAGCUAGUUGGUAAGGUAACGGCUUACCAAGGCAACGAUGCAUAGCCGACCUGAGAGGGUGAUCGGCCACACUGGAACUGAGACACGGUCCAGACUCCUACGGGAGGCAGCAGUAGGGAAUCUUCCGCAAUGGGCGAAAGCCUGACGGAGCAACGCCGCGUGAGUGAUGAAGGUCUUCGGAUCGUAAAACUCUGUUAUUAGGGAAGAACAUAUGUGUAAGUAACUGUGCACAUCUUGACGGUACCUAAUCAGAAAGCCACGGCUAACUACGU